UGGUGUGGAUGUGUAGGGAUUCUUACUGGGCUGUAAAGCUCACCCUUUUUUUUUCUCCUUUUUCUUUACCAGAGUUGCAGGAUGCAUAGUUUUGGAUGGGAUGGGCGCAGAGUGCGAGUACCAGAGUCAUUAGUUAGUUAGUUGUUUAUCCUUCUUUGAUGUCGAUGAACAUUUGAAGAGCUCGUAAUUGAACUAAAUUGUUUAUUUGACAUGUCGGAUUUGUUUAUUUGAAUUAUUAAAUUAAUUGUGGA
RNAcentral lists this long non-coding RNA (251 nucleotides) under Phoenix dactylifera (date palm). RNAcentral describes it as "long non-coding RNA (PDAC_LNC003225)". The record is from RNAcentral. Lineage: Eukaryota; Viridiplantae; Streptophyta; Magnoliopsida; Arecales; Arecaceae.